UUUCUCCGCCGGCGACCGGCGCACGGGUGAGUAACACGUAUGCAACCUGCCCCUGUCAGGGGGACAACCCGCCGAAAGGCGGGCUAAACCCGCGUACAUGCCACCGGGGCAUCCCGGAGGCAGGAAAGGCUUCGGCCGGACAGGGAUGGGCAUGCGGCGCAUUAGGCAGUAGGCGGGGUAACGGCCCACCUAACCGACGAUGCGUAGGGGUUCGUGAGAGGAAGGUCCCCCACACUGGUACUGAGACACGGACCAGACUCCUACGGGAGGCAGCAG
This 276-nucleotide ribosomal RNA is filed under the name uncultured bacterium. RNAcentral describes it as "partial 16S ribosomal RNA". It matches the Rfam family "Bacterial small subunit ribosomal RNA", at positions 80 to 354 of the family's 1533-position model. The record is from RNAcentral.